GACAGAGGGGGCAAGCGUUGCUCGGAAUCACUGGGCGUAAAGGGCGCGUAGGCGGGAUGGCAAGUCGGUCGUGAAAUCCUUCGGCUCAACCGAAGAACGUCGGCCGAUACUGCCGUUCUUGAGGGAUGCAGAGGAGAUUGGAAUUCCCGGUGUAGCGGUGAAAUGCGUAGAUAUCUGGAGGAACACCGGUGGCGAAGGCGGCGUUCUGGACUGCAACUGACACUGAGGAACGAAAGCCAGGGGAGCAAACGGG
Molecule: ribosomal RNA, 253 nt
Filed under: uncultured bacterium
Lineage: Bacteria
Description: partial 16S ribosomal RNA
Rfam family: Bacterial small subunit ribosomal RNA
Source: RNAcentral